GGUGACCUACGGGACGCAGCAGUGGGGAAUAUUGCGCAAUGGACGAAAGUCUGACCGAGCAACGCCGCGUGAGUGAAGAAGGUUUUCGGAUCGUAAAACUCUGUUGGUAGAGAAGAACGUUGGUGAGAGUGGAAAGCUCAUCAAGUGACGGUAACUACUCAGAAAGGGACGGCUAACUACGUGCCAGCAGCCGCGGUAAUACGUAGGUCCCGAGCGUUGUCCGGAUUUAUUGGGCGUAAAGCGAGCGCAGGUGGUUUAUUAAGUCUGCUGU
Molecule: ribosomal RNA, 271 nt
Filed under: uncultured bacterium
Lineage: Bacteria
Description: partial 16S ribosomal RNA
Rfam family: Bacterial small subunit ribosomal RNA
Source: RNAcentral